Bos indicus x Bos taurus (hybrid cattle) is the source of this 1258-nucleotide long non-coding RNA. The record is from Ensembl. Lineage: Eukaryota; Metazoa; Chordata; Mammalia; Artiodactyla; Bovidae.
UUUUUUGAAAAACAUAUAUUAAUGUGGUUGAAGCUGUUAGAAUAUAAUUAUCCACAGCAUUUAAUAAGAGCAGAUGACAAUGUCUAAAAGACAGACUCUGAUGGCAAAAUUACAAAGUGUGAAAUCUACACACACCUUAAUCUCAGGGGUAAUAGUCAAAAUGGUAACUUCCUCCAGUGGGUUGUUAGGAAGCAUGUAAUAUUCUGUGUCAAAUGGGGCUCUUUGAGGCAAGUGGCGGCUCUACUAUACCCAGAAUCCCACAACACCUUUCUUUAAUUUUCUAUCUUUAGUUUAUUAAGCUGAAAUUGGUGUUGAAGCAAGGUUUUUCUAAUUAAUAUUAUUCUAAUCAAUAUCAAAAGAGUUUAUAAUUCAUGGGCUCACAGAGCUCAUGCUGAUACAAAUUCCAUCUUGUCAUUCCACUAUGUACUCGAGUGAUGUGAGCUUUGCACUGGGCAAAGCUUCAAAGAGUUGGCAAGAAAAUGAAGGGCAUGCCCCAAAGAAUGUCCUGCUUCAGUCUCCACAGAGGACAAAUUCUUCAGUGGAGCACACCAGCUGCCACAGGGAAGCAGAAGCACGGAGUCCCCACCAGGGAGCCUGGAACCCACACUGCACGACUUGAAGCUGCAUUGGGAACUUGUGAAAGCUCGAAGAAGAACUACUAUCAAGUUCUCAUGGAUUCCACGAAAACAGUAUACUUCCCCUCCCUUGGCUUCUGCUUCAGUUGCUUCUUUUGGCCAGUGGGAUAUGCAGUGGAGGCUUGGCGCGCCACCUCAUCUCCUGCUUUUUGCCACAAGAGCCUGCCUCACGUAGACGCUGGUUCAAGGAGGAGAGACACAUGCAGCAGGUCUGGACGCAACCCACAGCCUGGAGCCUAGCUAAUCUGUUCUCCAGCUUCCCUGUGGAUACACGAGUAGGAGCAGAUGUUUACUCUUGUCUGCCACGGAGAUUUCAGUGGUUCGUGAUGCAGUAUCAUUGUGGCAAUAGCCCACGGAAACACAUCUGCCUCAGAACCAAAUGAGUGCACCACAGCUAUGUUUAAAUGGAUAACCAACAAGGAACCACUGUACAGCACAGGGAACUCUGCUCAGGGUGAUGUGCCAGCCUGGAUGGGAGGGGAGGUUGGAGGAGAAUGGAUAGAUGUACAUGCACGGCUGAGUCCCUUCACUGUUCACCUGAGACCAUCACAACAUUGUCAAUCAGCUACAGCCCAAUACAAAAUAGAAAGUUUAAAAAUAAAGAAAUAAAUAAAAUGAGAACA